This is a non-coding RNA of Lyngbya majuscula, 226 nucleotides long. NCBI's taxonomy places the organism in Bacteria, Bacillati, Cyanobacteriota, Cyanophyceae, Oscillatoriales, Microcoleaceae. The record is from Rfam.
GUCAACAAUCCCGACUGGGAUUCCAACCCACCGAUCAAUCGACGGGCAAGAGAUCCUGUAGUUGACCAGACUAAGCCAGUUCGACUGGCUACGUUAGAUAGGCUAUCGCACCCUAGGGUGCUUGCCAGCUCUAGGCUCUGAGGUUUCAGAUUAAACAUCUGUAGAGGGAUUAAGGAAGUGUCUGAAACAGGACAAACCUAUCUAACCUUGUCGAGGCAAAAGUAAC